GUGACGGCAAUAUUGUUUGGUUUCUGCUUGUUGGGCUACAACCCACGCUGUUGCAGUAAUCUGCUUUAACAUGAUACGUUGUAUUAUUCUUGAGUGUCGUGGCAAUGGCUGGUCCUGCAGCAAGACUUUUCUUUUGUGUGCAAGAUAAUGCACAUUUUAGAUAGAAGACAAGAAAGAAGAAUUUCAGUAAACCAAUGCUACAAAGCAAUUUCUGAGUUCCAGAAAUUAUGCAUACCCACACCAAAGAGCAAAAUUUGGAAUUUCAGCAGAGUGGGGGUCAGAGAAAGAACAAGGAUAAGUAUAAGGAUAAUUUAUUUUACGUCAACAACCCAGGGAGUGGUUGCCAUGCCAAUUUUCCGAGGCAGGGGCCCAUGUUAAAAGUGCAUGACAACACCACAGAUUACAUAUAUGAUGAAUCAUAUGUAUAAUCCGUGAUUACAGAUUAUAGAGUUUGUAUGGAAAAAGUUUGUAUGGAAGAAAGUUUGUAUGGAAGAAAGUUUGAAUUUCCAGA
Molecule: long non-coding RNA, 511 nt
Organism: Actinia tenebrosa (Australian red waratah sea anemone)
Lineage: Eukaryota; Metazoa; Cnidaria; Anthozoa; Actiniaria; Actiniidae
Source: RefSeq, a predicted model, not a curated record